This 315-nucleotide small RNA is filed under the name Theobroma cacao (cacao). RNAcentral's name for it is "sRNA Tc06v2_g003700". Lineage: Eukaryota; Viridiplantae; Streptophyta; Magnoliopsida; Malvales; Malvaceae. The record is from RNAcentral.
CAUAGCAAGACCAAAGAGAGGAAACGAAAAACAAGAACCUUAGGUGGGAAAAUUCAAAGGAAAAUUGGUGGAUUUCAAGGAAUCAAGCAAUCAAAGGUGGUGAACCCUCUAACAAGAGUAAAGAGAUUGUGCCCGAAGAUCGAGAAUAAGAGUAUAUCAAACUCCUAGUACUGCAAGUAACCUUACCAUCAUUUUAAUUAUCUAAAGCAUCAGGAUAGUCUGUAAAUAGCUCAUUUCAUUGAGGACUACAAUUGGAUUGGCAUCCUCAAAAUAUGAGAAAUGAGAAGCUGAUAUUAAAGCCUUGCGGGGUUCCGC